GACUCACUUUGCACAGGGCUGUAGUCCCAGGCGGGUGAUUCCAUGUGCCACAGAAACAUUCCAGGUGCCUUGACUUGUCAAGGGUAACGUGGUUGCCUAGAGACAUGGUA
Small nucleolar RNA from Erinaceus europaeus (western European hedgehog), 110 nucleotides. The record is from Ensembl. NCBI's taxonomy places the organism in Eukaryota, Metazoa, Chordata, Mammalia, Eulipotyphla, Erinaceidae.